CGGUAAACCACCAAAAAAAAAAAAGAGUGAAAAAAAAUGCUGGUUCUUUCUCUUCUCCCUCCUCUGUCCCCUUGCCCUCAAAUCACUCCCUUAGCUUCAAUCCCGUCAUCAUCCAUAAUCUCCACAAAUCAAAGCAGCAAUCAUAAACUUAGCCGCAGGAAAACUCUCUCUCUUCUGACUUCCCCCCUCAUCAUCUCUCUUCCCAUUGAAACUGCAAGGGCUGAGGAUAAGGACGAGACCCAACAAGAAGAGGAGCGAGUCAUCCAAAUCUUUCAGGAUGCAUCUCCAUCUGUCGUGUUCAUCAAAGUCUUGGCAUUGCAACCAAAAUCUGGGCAAAAUAAGAAGGAUGUCCCUGUGAUCGAGGAAGAAGACGCCAAGGUUGAAGGAACUGGGUCUGGGUUUGUUUGGGACAAGGCUGGCCACAUUGUGACAAACUAUCACGUUAUAGAUAAAUUGGCCACUGAUCAGUCUGGUUUACGACGUUGCAAGGUUUUCUUCGAAGAUGUGAAUGGAAGUACUUUUGCUAGGGAAGGAAAGCUUAUAGGAUAUGAUGCCUCCUAUGAUCUUGCAGUUUUGAAGGUUGAUGUUGAGGGUGAUAAGCUGAGACCACCCCUUAUUGGUUCUUCGCGUGAUCUUCGAGUGGGUCAGAGUUGUUUCGCCAUUGGAAAUCCUCUUGGAUACGAGCAUACACUAACUACUGGGGUUGUAAGUGGGCUGGGGAGGGAAAUACCUUCACCAAAUGGGAGGCCAAUUCGAGGAGCUAUACAGACUGAUGCAGCAAUAAAUGCUGGGAACUCAGGAGGGCCUCUCAUUGACUCCUAUGGCCAUGUAAUUGGAGUCAACACCGCCACAUUCACUCGUAAAGGGACUGGAAUAUCUUCUGGCGUCAACUUUGCCAUUCCCAUUGAUGUUGUUUUCCGCACAGUUCCAUUUUUGAUUGUAUCCUGUUCUGAUCCACGACGGUGGGCCCAUUUGGGAAUCCUUUGUUAUUAUUCAUUACAUUGAUCGGCACACUGCCCAAGGAUCCUUAUGCCAAGGACCAGGACGGAGUUGGGUCGAUUUCAUUGAGAAAGAAGAUAUAUGAAUGUAGCAAAGCUGUGAAACCUCAAGGGAGAGGUAUGGGAGGAAGCAAAAAAGGAAUUCAUAGAGAUCAGGAAGCUGUUGGAGAACAAGCUCAGCGACUAAGGAAUUCAUAGAGAUCAUGAUAUAUUUAUACUUAUCAUGGUAAUAUAAUUCCAUUCCUUGUUGCUUUCAAAGGAUUCUGGAAUUUAUUUGCACUGUUUGCACAUUUUAUCUUGCCGUUUGGUUUAUGCUUUUGUAUUAUCACGUGGAUGGAUUGGGUAAUCAGAGGGUGUGACAACAUUUCUUCUUAUUCAUGCUUGUAUCUGAUUUGUAAACAGCACCCUUUCAAAUUCAAGCUUUCAAAUUCAACUUCAUAGCUGUUUUGUCUU
Molecule: RNA transcript, 1451 nt
Organism: Asparagus officinalis (garden asparagus)
Lineage: Eukaryota; Viridiplantae; Streptophyta; Magnoliopsida; Asparagales; Asparagaceae
Gene name: protease Do-like 5, chloroplastic
Exons: 10
Source: RefSeq, a predicted model, not a curated record